UCCCCUAACCAAGCCGCGGGUGAGAUAGGCGGCCAGUGAUUUGUGCCCAUCUGUAAGAGCAAGUCCUACCUUCCGCCAAAAGGCGCGAUGCAUGCACAAAAGAUGGAUCCAGGCUAUCUUUCUCUGCCAUCAGCUCAGGCAAAUAUUUCUCCUCUUCCAUAGCGCGGACUUCGGACCGUCCCCGGGCGAAGCGCAAGGUUCCGCUCGCUCGGACGCAGGGUCGCCGAGCAGCGCCUUGCUCCCGCGCUGCUCCGCCUUCGCCGCGGCGCGGGGAUCUCCGCGCGUCCUCACUGGCCCAUGCACGGAGUGGCUGCGACUCCCGCCGUCGGGCUGAGCGGCCCCGCGCCCACACCUGCCCGUCCCUUCCGUCGUCCCUGGCUCGCUCCGAGCCCCGGCUCACACCAGCGGCCUUAACUGGAGAGGCGGGAACAGGGAGCUCCCCACCUCCGCCAACCAUUCAUUGGUGGCGGCGCAUCGAGAGGCCGGGCCCCCGCGAAAGCUGCGGACUCUCAUUGGGCCGCGCAGCACGUCGGAUCGCCUGACUGGCAGGAGGCAGCUGCAGAGGGGAGGGGAGCGCAGAAGGUGCAAAAGCUUUCUUCUUGCAGCCCAAGCUUUCCCUGGUUAUUAGGCAUGCCCAGUUGUGUGGAGCACUCCGUCUUCGGCUGAGGUGCGGUGAAAGGAGAGAGCGGGAAAAACACCCGUUUAGCAGAGAAGCUCGGGUCCAAGACAGCAAGGGAGGUGGAGAUGAAGACUGAGCGGCUGAGGGAAUGAGAAAGCACCAGGGAAAGUAUCAGAUGUGACAGUGCGUUUCACCAGGUGCUGUGGCUGAGCUACUUUUUAUCUAUCCCACCUCUAUUUAAAGGAGACUUAAACCCUGCAGGUAUGGAAAUGAAGGCGGAGACGGAGAAGUUCAGUGACCCAGAAGUAACAAAUACAAUCUCCUUGGCGCCAUUCAUGUUCAUCCCACCCAGAGACUGAGUGUAUGUUACCAUGGGGCCAUGGUGCACUAAGAAGAUAGUAUGGAGAUCUGUCCGAGGGCUGAUUUUAUUAUACAAUGUCUCUGGAUAUCCAGGUCAUUAUAAAUAUGAAGAAACAUCCUUCUCCCUUCUUUACUCCAUGUGCUCCUUGUGAUGACUGGAGCUCUAGCAGUCAUCAUGGACCAUGAGCUUGAGAAUCAUACCAAAUGGAAAGGCACACAACAAACUUUUUGAAGCAAUGAUUUUUGGGUGGAUUUCUGUUAUUGCAGCCAAUACCUAAUGCAGGAGACGGAUGUAAUCAAAUAAGAGAUAGCAAUAGCCUGUACUAUCACGAUAGUGGAUAUGGAGAGAAAAGGACAUGUUCAAGAUGUAUUUUGAAGGUCGAGAACAAAGGAGUUAACAAUAGACUGGAUAUGGCAGGGUGAGGGAAAUAGAAAUGUCAAAAAUUAAUCCAAGAUAAGUGACCUGAACCACCACGAACAACCAUUUGAUAGAUGGUGUCAUCAUUACUGAAUGGGGACAAACUGAAGAGGCAAGACUUGAGAAGAAAUAAAGACUUCACUUUGGAUGUAUUUCAGAAAUAUGAAGUCCUUCCAUCAUAUUUGUUUUAAAUCUGUGCUAAAUCUAUGAAGCAAUGUAUAUAUACCUUCAGAAAUGAAGGUAUUCACUAAAUUCAUCAUAACAUUCAUAAUUAAUCAUAAUUUCACCAGAAGAUCUAUAACCAUGAGUUUAGGGAUUUUCACUGAACCUGAGCUGUUUCUUUUUUUAUUUUUUUUCCUUUAUCUUACUCAUAAGUAGAUUAAGUUGCAGUGCAAACAUGCCAUUUCCUUUUGGUUGUUAUGUAUUCUAGAGGAAAAAAGAGAACACCCAAACAGGACCUAUAUUUAAACCAGAAGCUUCUCUCAUUUUUCUCUAAAGGGAAUACUAAUGUUUUUGAAAGCUAGUGAUUUACAAUGUUAUCUAAUUCAAACCUUAGUCAUAGGGCUUGUCAUCAUCAUUUUCCAGAUGGGUAACUUAGAGAAGUUAAGAAAUGUCACCAAGGUUACAAAGCUGGAAUAAAGCAGAACAAAAAUUCAAAGCUAAUCUGCCACAUCCCGAGGUCUGUGUUCCUACUGCUAAAAAUUGCUUCUCUCUUGCAUGUUCAUCCUAUAAAUAAAGCCAAACAGAUUCCAAGAUACUGUCUUCAUGCUAAUUAAUUAUAAUAAUGAAACUUCCUUUUGCAAAUAUAUUUACAUAUUUAUCCAUACAUAUUUAUGUAUGUACACUCUGAACAUUUUCUAAUAAAGAACAAUAUAUAAAGAGUUCAACCAGAGUAGAGCUUCUCAUGAGAAACCCUAUAUCUCUUGGUCGCCCCUGGCAUUGAUUAAAUUGAAGUUAAAAAAAUUAUAAUUUAGUUCCAUCUUCAGACAGUCCAUUAUCAAAGCAUAAUGCCUUUUAAAUGAGUUGAAAGAAAAGCCCAUAGGCAGUAAAAAGUAGUAAAAUCAGGAAUGAUAGUCUAGUGUGUGAUAUUUAAAUGAGAAGUAAGAGGAGUAAAUAAAAGGGCACUGCCAAUUCGAGCCAGGAGAAAUUAUAAUACAUCCACCGGGGAAAAGGGUGGAAUACAUUUUUAUAGAAAAAAUAAUAAUUUAGUGAUAUGGGCAAUUCUUUCCCCUAGAAAAUACCCUUCUUUUCCCUUAGGAAAUGUCCUUCAUUUUAAAAUAAAAUAAAGAAAAUUAUAAUAAUUUUCUUUAUCAUAACAAUUAUUCAGUAUCCAGGAGUUUAGUUAUUUUACUAUCCACAUAGUGUAAACCAUCAUGCAAAUUGUUUGUCCUAAGUAUUAGAAUCAAAGGGAAAGGGGUUGUAUAAAAACACAAACUAUAUAAUAUUUACAGUCAUUGGAAACUCAUUAUAUGAAAGAAUUUGCACUUGAUUGAUAAGUAGAUACAAAAGAGAAAUUAAUAGUGUCUUACCUCAAGGAGUUCUCUUCUCAGUGAAA
Molecule: long non-coding RNA, 2952 nt
Organism: Acinonyx jubatus (cheetah)
Lineage: Eukaryota; Metazoa; Chordata; Mammalia; Carnivora; Felidae
Exons: 6
Source: RefSeq, a predicted model, not a curated record